CUGUUAGCAUUAAAGAAAAGCAACCUGGGAGGGACAGCACUCUAGCCUCCUCCCUGCUCAGCCUCUCUCCCCUGCCCCUUUCUCCCAGCUGCUGAUUCUGCCUGUUCCCCUGCAGGGAGCACUUUGACCUCUGUUCCAGCUGCUUUGGACCAGGCUCCCCUCCAGCCCCCACUGCCCCCACCGUGAGGGCUGCUGAUCAAGAGGUCCCAUCUAGCCAGGUAAGAAGACCCUUGGCAUCCCUGGCCCCUCAGCCUCAUAUUAAGCCCCUAGCCCCACCUGGGGCCCCAGGACAGGUCAGGCCCAGCUCCACCCUAUCCAGGUUUCUUGUGCCCUGGUUCUGGCAAUACUUGGCCCUUUGCCCCUCCCCUGCGGCGAGGCAGCCCUUUGCCCUCCACUUUCUGCCAAGUCAGGGGGCCUGACUGCUCCUCUGCCCCUUGCCCAAGGCCCAGGGAGGCUUCCGGACACUUCCAGAAAUGCCGGGAUCCACCAGCCCUCCCCCACCCCAAGUCAGAAUCAGGACCUUGGACAGAAAAAAGGCUGCCUCCAGAAUAGUCUUGAGAGACUGUCCCCAAACUCCUCAGCCAGCCCUCAGGCCCUUCCUUCACAGUGCCUUCCCCUGUCUAAGCCUCAGUUUCCCUACUGGUAAAGCGUGUUUAUUAACCACUUCCUUCUGGGGGGGGGUGUAUCUCUAUUAUAUGGGGAUUUAGGCACAGUGGAAACCCCUACAGAAAAUAGCGUGCCGGGCGAUAAUCUCAGGGAAACUGUGGAGGCUUGGAGAAUUGGGGGUGGUAGUACUCCCCACAGCCCCCAAGCUACAUUUCCCUCACUUUGGUGUUCCUGUUCGUUCUCCACCCCCAAAUGGGCAUCUCCCCGCCACCGUCCCGACAAGUUAAUGAUCACAGGCCUUAUCAGAGCCUUUUGCUAUUUAUAAAUUUAUAAAACAAAAGAAAUAAUGGCGUGCGUGGGUAAUUAGUAACCAGAACGGCUUUGCUGAGGAGAGAGAGAGGGGAGGCAUUGAAAUCGGGACCCACUCAGCAUUCCAGAAGAUGGGGAGCCAGACAACAGAAGAGGGGGGUCUGGUAUGGGGAGGCCUCUAACCCUGCUAUCUGACCAGACUGGGGUCAGGGGCAAGCAGCACCUGGCCAUGCAGGGAAACUGCCACCUUCAGCUCCAUCUGCCCCAGGUGUGUAUUCAAUCCAAUGAGACGUGAACUCAGGGAAAGCGGGCCAACUGUAUGCAGCUCUAACCUGGACGCAGACGAACUCGGAGCAGGAAAAACAGCGUGGGCUGAGCAGGUCCGGUGUCCUUCCGCGUGGAUGCAAUCUUCUUCAGCAGUAGAGGGCGCUCGACCUCCACGCGCCACAGCUUCCUGCCAUUCCUUGCCUAAGAAUUCUCCAGUCGGGAAAUUUUGUUCAGAUCCACCCACUUUAUUCCUGGUUGAGACUGCCCCCUCCGUCCAAAUGGCAGAGAAUCUCUUGUAUGAGCAAACACUUCAGGCAGCCUUGCCAGGAUCUCACCUGCUUUCCCCGCUCCGCAGGUGCUGUUAGGAGACAAUCUGGUUCUCACAAGCCAAGAGCUCAGGAACAUCUAUGAUACUGAGAUGCCAAUCAAAUUGGCCAAACAGUGAAACGAGGGCUGGCAACACUCCCUGGAUAAAGGGCUUGCUAUGCAAGCGUGAGGGCCCGAGCUAGGAUCCCUGGCACUCAUGAGGACACCUGGGUGUGGCUUUGCGUAUCUGUAACCACAGAGCAGGCGGAGACCGGAAGGAUCUCGGGGCUCACUGGCCAGCAAUCUAUUAGAAAGAGUGAGCUCCAGGGUCAGUAAGGGACCCUGUCUCAGAAACUAGUGGAGAGCAUGAUAGAAGACACCCUCCACCAACCUCUGGCCUCUUACUGAGCCUGGAACACACGGACGCACGCAUGCGCAUACACACACACUGAACUAGGUAGGGCUCAGGGACCUGUUGAAGGCACCAUUGGCUGGAAGAGCCCCGAACUGGGCAGACAAUUUCAGGCUUUGCAGAUCCCGUGGCUCCCCUGAGUCUGUUUCUUUAUCUGUCCAGGGAGGACUGUGUGUCUAAUACAUGAAAAUUAUUGCAGAAUUACCACUUGCAAUCCAGAAUCUUCCCUAGAAGAAGGCAGAAACUUCCAGAGCGGUACCGCGUGGAAGCCUAGCAUCAGGACUGCCCACUGUAGGAAACCUCCCAGCCCCAUCCAGUGCCUACAGGAGCUGGGACGCAGGAACCGGCGGAUAAGCCUCCUCCCCAACUCGCCACCAGGGUUGAGCCUAUGUAUGGCCCCUUACUCUGACAAAGCUUCGUGCUUCAGGGACUCGACCCAUCCCGGGCUGAGUCGCCCUCCCCUUCCCAGGCCGGAUGUUUGUGCCCGCCUCUCCACAGCUGUUUAUUAAAUCCUAAUUCCUCUUGUAGACCUGAAAGGAGUAGAGCAAGCGAGGGGAGGGGCUUAAUGUCCUUAUCUCCCUCCCUCACCCCUAAAAAAAAAAGGCCCGAGAGAGCUUGUCUGCUCCUGCAGGAGGAGGCUCGUCCGUUAGAGGGCCAGCGAGUGCAGCCCAAGUCAGCUCAGAAAGCAACAGUAAUUUAGUAUCAUCAGGAAUUGCGCCUAGCUGUGUGUAAUAGAAAACCCAAGGUCAGGGUGGUAUUCCAAAUCCGGCCUAAUUUCUUUCAGAAAUGGCACUGGGGAGGGGGGUCCCACACAAUGUUUCCACUACCCUUUU
This is a long non-coding RNA of Mus caroli (Ryukyu mouse), 2733 nucleotides long. RefSeq lists it as uncharacterized. The record is from RefSeq and is a predicted model, not a curated record. NCBI's taxonomy places the organism in Eukaryota, Metazoa, Chordata, Mammalia, Rodentia, Muridae.